GUGCCAGCCGCCGCGGUAAUACGGAGGGUGCAAGCGUUAUCCGGAUUCACUGGGUUUAAAGGGUGCGUAGGUGGACAUGUAAGUCAGUGGUGAAAUCCCCGAGCUUAACUUGGGAACUGCCGUUGAUACUAUAUGUCUUGAAUAUCGUGGAGGUAAGCGGAAUAUGUCAUGUAGCGGUGAAAUGCAUAGAUAUGACAUAGAACACCAAUAGCGAAGGCAGCUUGCUACACGAUCAUUGACACUGAGGCACGAAAGCGUGGGGAGCAAACAGGAUUAGAAACCCCUGUAGUCC
Molecule: ribosomal RNA, 292 nt
Filed under: uncultured bacterium
Lineage: Bacteria
Description: partial 16S ribosomal RNA
Rfam family: Bacterial small subunit ribosomal RNA
Source: RNAcentral